This is a long non-coding RNA of Talpa occidentalis (Iberian mole), 355 nucleotides long. RefSeq lists it as uncharacterized. NCBI's taxonomy places the organism in Eukaryota, Metazoa, Chordata, Mammalia, Eulipotyphla, Talpidae. The transcript has 3 exons. The record is from RefSeq and is a predicted model, not a curated record.
CUCAGGUCAAUCAAGCAGACAGCCGCAGACCUGAGGGAAGCUGGGAACAUCUCAACUCCAAGAAUGAGUUACUUAGAGGAAUAAUGUUCUCAAGGCAGGAGAAGAGUUUCUUCCAAGACAUUGGCUCACUGAGACAGAGGUCAAUCAAGCAGACAGCCGCAGACCUGAGGGAAGCUGGGAACAUCUCAUCUCCAAGAAUGAGAGUUACUUAUGAGCACAUAGGAAAAAACAGGGUGCCUGGCCUCGGUUUUCUUCUCUGAAAAAUGGGUGCACCUGUGCCCACCUCGGGAGAGUGAUGGUCUGAGGAUUGAUCCCAGGCCGGGUGUGAAGAGCGGCGAGGCCUGUGCGCACAGCG